This 253-nucleotide ribosomal RNA is filed under the name uncultured bacterium. RNAcentral describes it as "partial 16S ribosomal RNA". It matches the Rfam family "Bacterial small subunit ribosomal RNA", at positions 524 to 776 of the family's 1533-position model. The record is from RNAcentral.
UGCGGGGGGGGCUAGCGUUAUUCGGAAUCAUUGGGCGUAAAGGGCGCGUAGGCGGCGCGGUAAGUCAAAGGUGAAAUCCCUCGGCUCAACUGAGGAACUGCCUUUGAAACUGCCGUGCUUGAGUCCGGGAGGGGGUAGCGGAAUUCCCAGUGUAGCGGUGAAAUGCGUAGAUAUUGGGAGGAACACCAGUGGCGAAGGCGGCUACCUGGACCGGUACUGACGCUGAUGCGCGAAAGCGUGGGGAGCAAACAGG